Small nucleolar RNA from Jaculus jaculus (lesser Egyptian jerboa), 212 nucleotides. Its record names the gene U3. It matches the Rfam family "Small nucleolar RNA U3". From Rfam's summary of the family: Small nucleolar RNAs (snoRNAs) are involved in the processing and modification of rRNA in the nucleolus. There are two main classes of snoRNAs: the box C/D class, and the box H/ACA class. U3 snoRNA is a member of the box C/D class. NCBI's taxonomy places the organism in Eukaryota, Metazoa, Chordata, Mammalia, Rodentia, Dipodidae. The record is from Ensembl.
GAGACUCUACUUGCAGGGAUCAGUUCUAUAGUCCCUUACUAGAGAAGCAUCUCUGAUCGAGUAUGUACAGGAAACCAUGAGGAGGAGGUGUAAUGUUCUGUCCCGAGCAUGAGGCUGGUGCUGGGUGUUGUUCUGUGCAAGUGCCUAUCGCCACUGAUGAGCAUUCUUCUCUCCUCCUAGGAGAGUUAGAAGGAGAGAGCACAGUCUGAGGU